GGGCGUGUAGCUCAGUCUGGUUGGAGCACACGACUGAUAAUCGUGCGGUCGACGGUUCAAAUCCGUCCAUGCCCA
This 75-nucleotide transfer RNA is filed under the name Candidatus Diapherotrites archaeon CG08_land_8_20_14_0_20_34_12. RNAcentral describes it as "tRNA-Ile". It matches the Rfam family "tRNA". From Rfam's summary of the family: Transfer RNA (tRNA) molecules are approximately 80 nucleotides in length. The record is from RNAcentral. Lineage: Archaea; Nanobdellati; Candidatus Iainarchaeota.